Molecule: non-coding RNA, 62 nt
Filed under: Desulfotomaculum sp.
Lineage: Bacteria; Bacillati; Bacillota; Clostridia; Eubacteriales; Desulfotomaculaceae
Description: Fluoride sequence
Rfam family: Fluoride riboswitch aptamer (crcB RNA motif)
Source: RNAcentral
AUUAUAAAAGGUGAUGGGGUUCCGCCGGAAAUACCUGAUUGGUUGAUGACUCCUGCUAUGGA